AAGGGCACUUUUGUGCCGUUGUGAUGUCUGAAGUGUAGGGUGCCUGAAGAAAACGAAUGCUUAAGUUCUUCUGGAAAGGAAGCGCCCAUGGAGGGUGAUAGCCCCGUCUAGCAUUUGACCUCAUAUUAGGAAUCUUAACAUGGGAGUCGAGUUGUUUGGGGAAAUGCAGCUCAAAUGGGUGGUAUGCUCCAUCUAAAGCUAAAUAUCUGCGAGAGACCGAUAGUAAACAAGUACUGUGAGGGAAAGAUGAAAAGAACUUUGAAAAGAGAGUGAAAAAGUACGUGAAAUUGUUGAAAUGGAAGGGUAGGCCGCUAACCAUGUAGAGCCGUGUUUGGGGGGAAGAUGACUGCUGUAGAAUGUUACUCCUCGGAGUAUUAUACAUGCAUUUCAUGAUUCCC
Molecule: ribosomal RNA, 398 nt
Filed under: Starmerella bacillaris
Lineage: Eukaryota; Fungi; Ascomycota; Dipodascomycetes; Dipodascales; Trichomonascaceae
Description: partial large subunit ribosomal RNA
Rfam family: Eukaryotic large subunit ribosomal RNA
Source: RNAcentral